CUCACACAGCUGAUGCAAGUUGCCAAGAAAGCCUUGAAAAACAACCAAUGUUCCUGUCAAGGACGCUUGAUACACCACAGCUUUCAGCAUCUACCAGAUCGACAUUUAAAGUCCCUAAUAGUGUGACUGUAAGGGUGGUAUGUGGAUAAACAUGAUGAAAAAUAACAGAAGAGGCAAAUGACCGGAUUGCCCUGAGAAAUUGCCCGUAUUUCUUGUGAUCUCUAUCCCUUGGAAUCCUGUUUUGGGUCUUCGGUCAGCCCCACAACAACGUCUACAUUUAAUGAGGAGGUUUUAUCUCUGUUCUCGAGCCCAUCACCGUCAUUUCACACACUCUAUUAUCAGCAAUGUCAACGUCACCAUCUCGCUCAUUUGCAUCAAUUCGUGCGUGCUCACUUUCCCACCCUGUCGGACGUUCCCGGGCACAACAAUAAUAACUGGGGUGCCUUUGACCCUUGGCCAGCCUCCACUCCUAGUUCUAGACGAGGUUCCAUCACCGAGACCCCGGAUUUUAGCCACAAACGUCAACGACACCGCUCUCAAGUCCAAGCCACCGAGCUUCAUCGUGAGUUCUGUCCCCGCAAACUGAACUUGAAAGGUUGCGAUGCCUUGAGUCGAGGUUUGGGCAGUAAGAGGAUUCGCAGGUGGAACAUGGACCCCAGUAUUGUGUGCAAGGAAGAGACCGUGGAGACCAGUUCCGGAGAGGAUGGGCAGAAAGAGGGCAAAAUCGACAAGUUGUUGAACAAGUACUGCGCGGUUUGCGGUGACAAGGCUUUGGGAUACAAUUUCAAUGCGUUGACGUGCGAAAGUUGCAAGGCGUUUUUUAGGCGAAACGCCCUUAAAAACAAGGAGUUCAAAUGCCCUUUUAGCAAUAAAUGUGAAGUGACAUUGGUCACGAGAAGGUUCUGUCAGAAAUGUCGCUUAAAGAAAUGUUUUGACAUUGGGAUGAAGAAGGAGUGGAUUCUAUCGGAUGAAGAGAAGCAGCAGAAAAGACAAAAGAUUGAACAGAAUCGGGCCAAGAAACGCCAAGAUGUCCCGGAUUUGUCCCCGGGGGCAUUCUUGGCCGCAGCCUCCCCAUCCACCUUGCCACAUAAUAGGGAUGUUGUCUCACCAGCGUCCACGAGUAUCUCAUUCCCUUUAGGGACCGAUUCCAUCGGACUCGAGAGGCCGCAAGCCCGGGUUUUACCUUCAUCAAGGCCACCCUCCGAAGACGAUAACCAGCCUCGGCAAAAACAAAUGCGAUACGAAAUCCCGGAUGAGAGCAAUACUCGAUUAGGACUGGCGGAUCCUUACUCAUCCAACGAUUCCUCAGAGCAAUGUGCUUUAAUCCGGCACGAGCUAACCUCCUCCAAUUCUCCCCCACAAAACUCAACCUUUAUCCCCACAAUCCAUGACCGAUCCCAAAUCAACAUGUUGAAUUUUGUGGUCCAACAGCCCCAACUCAGUGCUCAUAGUAGCUCCAAAGAUCUCCCGUUAGAUGCCACUGUAAAUCAGAGUUCUUUAACUAGGAUGUCACCCGAUUUAACGACUUUGCCCGAACAAGUGAAUCCGAUGAACUUGGAUGUCAAAAACGAACAAUCCCCCCAAUCCUAUCCGAGCACAAGUUGCGGGCAGAAUCCAUUUUCGCCCCAUAUGGGCGGCAUUCCCUUGGUUGGGGCCAUGACUGAAAUCAAAUCCAGCGAUUCGUCUCUUAGUUUCCCAGAUAUCACGAACACGAGUUUCGACAAUCUGGAUGAUAUCGUCACCGUGGCCAUUGAAGCCGAAUUUCACGUACAAAAUAUCCACUCCCCAAUGCAUUCGCUCACAGGAAAGUCACUGAACGAUCGAGAGACCGACCGUCUUCACGAGCUUUUCAUGGCAUCCCGAUCCUUGGUGGAACCAUUGGAUCUUGAGAAAAGUCCUUUUUCCAAUGCGGAUCCAAAGAACUUGAUAAGUGUAGUUAACCUCACGGAUUUGGCCAUCAAACGCAUCAUUCGUAUGGCCAAGAAGAUCAACCCGUUUAUCACCAUGUGUCAAGAGGAUCAAAUCGCUUUACUCAAAGGCGGCUGUACCGAGCUCAUGAUCCUUAGAUCCGUUAUCAAUUACAAUCCGGACAAAAACUCGUGGCGGAUUCCGUCCAAAGAUCGACCACGAGAGGUAAACAUGGAGCUGUUAAAGGAAGCCAGCCACUUAGGGGUCAAUUUGUACGAGGAGCACCAACGGUUCGUGAAAUCGUUCGAUCCCAAAUGGAGGACGGACGAGAAUGUGAUGCUUCUGCUUUCAGCCAUUGCACUUUUCAAUCCCGCGCGAACCAACGUCUUGCACAAAGAUGUGGUGAAACUUGAACAGGUAUUGUUUAGUCCAUACAAGUGUCGGAAACCGAUUUCCGAUGUCAAAUUGAGCCCAUAAACUUGGCGGCCAGCAUCCUCAGCCAGCUCGAGCUGAUUAUGUUGUCACGCGGCCAGCACCUGUCAAUUUAUGCUCCAGAAUCAUCAUGAUCAUCUGAAAUAUGCCCAUCGCCCCUCAAGAUAUUGAAGUUACUGGUUGAUGGUUGGGCUUUGAUCUCGGUGGCAGUGAUGAUGGCAUGUGGAGUCCUGAUGCAUUUCCUGAACAGAAGUUCUGCCCCCUCAGGGCUAAUUGCGGGUCAUCUCACCACCAAAAAAUGCUCCCUAGGAUGCAUAUUACUACCUCCUGCGGCGUUAUUUGGAAACCAUUUGCACUGGAUGUGAUGCUCGGCGCGCUUAUUUGCAUCUCAUUGGAAGACUGAAGGAUUUGAAUCGCUUGAACGAGUCCCAUAUACAAUUGUUCCUA
RNA transcript from Tigriopus californicus, 2787 nucleotides. It is a transcript of the gene named nuclear hormone receptor HR96-like, with no coding region annotated. Lineage: Eukaryota; Metazoa; Arthropoda; Copepoda; Harpacticoida; Harpacticidae. The transcript is spliced from 10 exons. The record is from RefSeq and is a predicted model, not a curated record.